GCCGGGUGCAGUGGUACACACCUGUAUUCCCAGCGGCUAAGGAGGCUGAGGUAGGAGGAUCGCAAGUUCAAAGCUAGCCUCAGCAAUGGCAAGAUGCUAAGCAACUCAGUGAGAUCCUGUCUCUA
Molecule: small RNA, 125 nt
Filed under: Marmota monax (woodchuck)
Lineage: Eukaryota; Metazoa; Chordata; Mammalia; Rodentia; Sciuridae
Source: RNAcentral